CGGGGCGUGGCUCAGUUUGGCUAGAGCGCAACGUUCGGGACGUUGAGGUCACAGGUUCAAGUCCUGUCGCCCCGA
RNAcentral lists this transfer RNA (75 nucleotides) under Candidatus Omnitrophota bacterium. Its description in RNAcentral is "Candidatus Omnitrophica bacterium (groundwater metagenome) tRNA-Pro". It matches the Rfam family "tRNA". From Rfam's summary of the family: Transfer RNA (tRNA) molecules are approximately 80 nucleotides in length. Their secondary structure includes four short double-helical elements and three loops (D, anti-codon, and T loops). Lineage: Bacteria; Pseudomonadati; Candidatus Omnitrophota. The record is from RNAcentral.